RNAcentral lists this unclassified non-coding RNA (380 nucleotides) under uncultured Rickettsiales bacterium. Its description in RNAcentral is "contains 16S-23S intergenic spacer region". Lineage: Bacteria; Pseudomonadati; Pseudomonadota; Alphaproteobacteria; Rickettsiales. The record is from RNAcentral.
UCCGGCUUAUCACCGGCAGUUUCCCCAGAGUUCUCGGCAUUACCCGUUAGCAACAGGGGACGAGGGUUGCGCUCGUUGCGGGACUUAACCCAACAUCUCACGACACGAGCUGACGACAGCCAUGCAGCACCUGUGCUCCUCCCACCCGAAGUGAAGGGAUCCAUCUCUGGGUCCCAUAGAGGGCAUGUCAAGGCCUGGUAAGGUUCUUCGCGUUGCCUCGAAUUGAACCACAUGUUCCACCGCUUGUGCGGGUCCCCGUCAAUUCCUUUAAGUUUCAACCUUGCGGCCGUACUCCCCAGGCGGGAUGCUUAACGCGUUAGCUACGCCACUGAGGGGGAACCCCCCAACGGCUAGCAUCCAUCGUUUAGGGCGCGGACUAC